Molecule: transfer RNA, 74 nt
Filed under: Clostridia bacterium
Lineage: Bacteria; Bacillati; Bacillota; Clostridia
Description: tRNA-Gln
Rfam family: tRNA
About the family: Transfer RNA (tRNA) molecules are approximately 80 nucleotides in length. Their secondary structure includes four short double-helical elements and three loops (D, anti-codon, and T loops).
Source: RNAcentral
UCCGGAUUGGUGUAACGGCAGCACGCCUGACUCUGACUCAGGAGGUCGUGGUUCAAAUCCAUGAUCCUGAGCCA